GAUGAACGCUGGCGGCGUGCUUAACACAUGCAAGUCGAACGGUGAAGGCGGAGCUUGCUCUGCUGGAUCAGUGGCGAACGGGUGAGUAACACGUGAGCAAUCUGCCCCUGACUCUGGGAUAAGCGCUGGAAACGGCGUCUAAUACUGGAUACGAGCUGCGAAGGCAUCUUCAGCAGCUGGAAAGAAUUUCGGUCAGGGAUGAGCUCGCGGCCUAUCAGCUUGUUGGUGAGGUAAUGGCUCACCAAGGCGUCGACGGGUAGCCGGCCUGAGAGGGUGACCGGCCACACUGGGACUGAGACACGGCCCAGACUCCUACGGGAGGCAGCAGUGGGGAAUAUUGCACAAUGGGCGAAAGCCUGAUGCAGCAACGCCGCGUGAGGGACGACGGCCUUCGGGUUGUAAACCUCUUUUAGCAGGGAAGAAGCGAAAGUGAUGGUACCUGCAGAAAAAGCGCCGGCUAACUACGUG
Molecule: ribosomal RNA, 468 nt
Filed under: uncultured bacterium
Lineage: Bacteria
Description: partial 16S ribosomal RNA
Rfam family: Bacterial small subunit ribosomal RNA
Source: RNAcentral